RNAcentral lists this ribosomal RNA (535 nucleotides) under uncultured Ascomycota. RNAcentral describes it as "partial 18S ribosomal RNA". The stretch from base 156 to 309 matches the Rfam family "5.8S ribosomal RNA". Lineage: Eukaryota; Fungi; Ascomycota. The record is from RNAcentral.
AUCCGUGUCUAUUAUACCCUGUUGCUUCGGCGGGCCCGCCGCUUGUCGGCCGCCGGGGGGGCGCCUUUGCCCCCCGGGCCCGUGCCCGCCGGAGACCCCAACACGAACACUGUCUGAAAGCGUGCAGUCUGAGUUGAUUGAAUGCAAUCAGUUAAAACUUUCAACAAUGGAUCUCUUGGUUCCGGCAUCGAUGAAGAACGCAGCGAAAUGCGAUAACUAAUGUGAAUUGCAGAAUUCAGUGAAUCAUCGAGUCUUUGAACGCACAUUGCGCCCCCUGGUAUUCCGGGGGGCAUGCCUGUCCGAGCGUCAUUGCUGCCCUCAAGCCCGGCUUGUGUGUUGGGUCGCCGUCCCCCUCUCCGGGGGGACGGGCCCGAAGGCAGCGGCGGCACCGCGUCCGAUCCUCGAGCGUAUGGGGCUUUGUCCAUGAUCUGUGGAUUGGCCGGCGCCUGCCGACGUUUUCCAACCAUUUUUUCAAGGUUGACCUCGGAUCACGUAGGAAUACCCGCUGAACUUAAGCAUAUCAAUAAGCGGAGGA